UUUUUUUACCGUACCAGAGACGCUGUCAUUAACGAAAAAGAUGAACCAAGACCUAGAACUCCUGAGGAAACCUUCCUCUUUGUACAUCAAGAGCCAUGGCAACAACGAAUGCUUGAAAGAUAUGGUAGUGAACUGGCCCUGAUGGACGCCACGUACAAAACGACAAGGAGAAAUACCGCGGUCUGUAAGAUUUGCAAAGACGACGAUGGAGAGGAUUGGCUUGGGUGCGAUAGCUGUUGCCAGGUUUUCCAUGCAAGUUGUCUGGAUGUGCCUUUCGCGGAGACGCUUACGCAACAUUUCACCUGUCCUUAGGGUGGCUUCUUGUCGGUACAAGUAGAGUUUAAAUUUUAAAGCUGACUAUAACAAUGAACCAGAUGAUGAACUUAAUGUCAUGUACAGACCUUAAUUUGCAAGAUAAGAAAUACAGUCCUUGGUAGUCAAUUAAGAUAGAUUUUCACGAGCGUCAAUGGUGCAGAAUCGUAACUUGAUGGAGCCAACAGUGGACAACAUCCCAGAAUUCAAACUUUGUGAUUUUUUUCUCGGCUUAAACGCUAAGUCAGUUGUUCAAUUGAAUAGGAAGAAAAACAUUUCGAACGGAAAACAGAAUUAUUUGCACGUGUGGAUCUUUUGAGAAAAGGUCUCCUAAACGAGUGGUCUUGAUUAUAAAUAUUUAAGGAAUGGUAAAUACAUUAGCCUUAACAUGGCUGUUUCUCGAAGCUCAGUGUUUUCCUACUUGCCUUUUUUCCACGUGAAUUGGGGGCGAUUGAAUAGAUAUAAUAUGCAGUAAAAGAAGUUCAGCUGAUAGAAAUUUUAAAUUUCUCAUCUUAGGCUGUGGAUACAAAAUUCAAGUGAAAAGGAAGCCAACUGUGAUUUGAGUGCUUUGAACAAGUCAAGAUACGUUUUUUCGUCACACAACAAGUUACUUAACGUUAAUAUCAUUCUUCUUGAUGCCUUUCCCGGUGUCACCAAUGCCUUUCCCGAUGCCUCCGUUGGUUAAUAGAGCAUUAAAAGUAUUGUUCCAGUUAAA
Molecule: long non-coding RNA, 1027 nt
Organism: Pocillopora damicornis (cauliflower coral)
Lineage: Eukaryota; Metazoa; Cnidaria; Anthozoa; Scleractinia; Pocilloporidae
Source: RefSeq, a predicted model, not a curated record